RNAcentral lists this ribosomal RNA (437 nucleotides) under uncultured bacterium. RNAcentral describes it as "bacterial SSU rRNA". It matches the Rfam family "Bacterial small subunit ribosomal RNA", at positions 954 to 1392 of the family's 1533-position model. The record is from RNAcentral.
AUGGGAACGCGAAGAACCUUACCUAGACUUGACAUCUUCUGCAUUAAUCGUAAUGGAUGAAAUCCCUUCGGGGACAGAAUGACAGGCGGUGCAUGGUUGUCGUCAGCUCGUGUCGUGAGAUGUUGGGUUAAGUCCCGCAACGAGCGCAACCCCUAUUAUUAGUUGCUAACAUUAAGUUGAGCACUCUAGUGAGACUGCCCGGGUUAACCGGGAGGAAGGUGGGGAUGACGUCAAAUCAUCAUGCCCCUUAUGUCUAGGGCUACACACGUGCUACAAUGGUGAGAACAACAAGAUGCGAUACCGCGAGGUGGAGCAAAACUGAAAAACUCAUCUCAGUUCGGAUUGCAGGCUGAAACUCGCCUGCAUGAAGUUGGAGUUGCUAGUAAUCGCGAAUCAGAAUGUCGCGGUGAAUACGUUCCCGGGUCUUGUACACACCG